AUUGAACGCUGGCGGCAUGCCUUACACAUGCAAGUCGAACGGUAACAGGUCUUCGGAUGCUGACGAGUGGCGAACGGGUGAGUAAUACAUCGGAACGUGCCCGAUCGUGGGGGAUAACGAAGCGAAAGCUUUGCUAAUACCGCAUACGAUCUACGGAUGAAAGCGGGGGAUCUUCGGACCUCGCGCGGACGGAGCGGCCGAUGGCAGAUUAGGUAGUUGGUGGGAUAAAAGCCUACCAAGCCGACGAUCUGUAGCUGGUCUGAGAGGACGACCAGCCACACUGGGACUGAGACACGGCCCAGACUCCUACGGGAGGCAGCAGUGGGGAAUUUUGGACAAUGGGCGCAAGCCUGAUCCAGCCAUGCCGCGUGCGGAAGAAGGCCUUCGGUUGUAAACCGCUUUGUCAGGAGAAUCUUCUGGUAAUACUCGGAGGAUGACGGUACCUGAAGAAUAAGACACCGGCGUAACUACGUGCCAGCAGCCGCGUAAUCACG
This 494-nucleotide ribosomal RNA is filed under the name uncultured bacterium. RNAcentral's name for it is "bacterial SSU rRNA". It matches the Rfam family "Bacterial small subunit ribosomal RNA", at positions 30 to 527 of the family's 1533-position model. The record is from RNAcentral.